This 396-nucleotide ribosomal RNA is filed under the name Triticum aestivum (bread wheat). RNAcentral describes it as "partial small subunit ribosomal RNA". Lineage: Eukaryota; Viridiplantae; Streptophyta; Magnoliopsida; Poales; Poaceae. The record is from RNAcentral.
AUGGCUCCUACCGAGGCUGAGGAUGAUGUAGAGGAGGGAGAAGAGAAGAAGAAGAGGGAAAGGAAGGCAGCCGGAGCUGCUUUCACGUGGAUUCAAAAUGACUUUGCGACGUGCCCUCCGGAUGCAACUGAUGAUGUGAUCCAGACACAUGCUCGUGUGUAUAUGUGGUACAUUGUGUCGAGGACUUUGUUUCCUGACUCCACUGGCAAGAACGCUCCAUGGAUGUGGCUGAAGGCGUUGACCGUCUUCGAUAGCAAAUGGAGCUGGGGUUCAGCGACUCUUGCCUACUUGUACCAACAGGUAGUUGGUCUGUUUUGUGAUCAACUCAUUUAUUCAUUAGCAAUGCAAGCUUGCUGUCAAGUUAACAUUGUUUUUCUUUCAUAUGUAGCUGGAUGA